Molecule: long non-coding RNA, 331 nt
Filed under: Prunus dulcis (almond)
Lineage: Eukaryota; Viridiplantae; Streptophyta; Magnoliopsida; Rosales; Rosaceae
Description: sRNA ncRNA
Source: RNAcentral
AUGUUUUCUUUUAUCUCGAGUUCCAAGACACAAUCGAAGCCAAGUGGAUUGCAACUAGUCUCCAACUUGAUGCACCAUAAAAGAGUUGUAGCAUGUAAACAAGAAGAAGAAGAAGAAACAGAUGCAAAUGAAUUUGCAAUGGCGGAUGCAACAUUCAUUGCACUCAAUUGUUGGUCACAUGACAAAAGAACCUAAUAACAUUAUUGAAAAUACACAAACCCAACCACACAAUUUAGAGUUGUGCAUACAAGAUCUAGAAGAGUCACUUGAACACCUUUCAAGGUGUUUGAUCAAAACCAGAGUUUCCCUCCUCAACAUCCUCAACCACUAG